Molecule: ribosomal RNA, 500 nt
Filed under: uncultured bacterium
Lineage: Bacteria
Description: partial 16S ribosomal RNA
Rfam family: Bacterial small subunit ribosomal RNA
Source: RNAcentral
GAUGAACGCUGGCGGCGUGCCUAAUACAUGCAAGUCGAGCGAACCUCUUCGGAGGUUAGCGGCGGACGGGUGAGUAACACGUGGGUAACCUGCCUGUAAGACUGGGAUAACUUCGGGAAACCGAAGCUAAUACCGGAUACUUUUUUGAGUCGCAUGACUCGAAAUGGAAGGACGGCUUCGGCUGUCACUUACCGAUGGACCCGCGUGGCAUUAGCUAGUUGGUGAGGUAACGGCUCACCAAGGCGACGAUGCGUAGCCGACCUGAGAGGGUGAUCGGCCACACUGGGACUGAGACACGGCCCAGACUCCUACGGGAGGCAGCAGUAGGGAAUCUUCGGCAAUGGGCGAAAGCCUGACCGAGCAACGCCGCGUGAGUGAUGAAGGCUUUCGGGUCGUAAAACUCUGUUGUUAGGGAAGAACAAGUACGAGAGUAACUGCUCGUACCUUGACGGUACCUAACCAGAAAGCCACGGCUAACUACGUGCCAGCCGCCGCCGUAA